This 233-nucleotide long non-coding RNA is filed under the name Sorghum bicolor (sorghum). RNAcentral describes it as "long non-coding RNA (SBIC_LNC012192)". Lineage: Eukaryota; Viridiplantae; Streptophyta; Magnoliopsida; Poales; Poaceae. The record is from RNAcentral.
GCUUGCAGAUUUAUCUAUGUGCGUAUAAAUACCAUAGUACACUCUAGUGCCAUGCUGGGGAUGGCAACUGUUGAUGGUCCUUAAGUAUCAAAUUUAAUUAUCAAAUAAACAAAGAAAAGGAUUGAAAUCAAAUCAACAUCUGGACUUAGGGUUUUAUCUGACAGAAUUCCACAAGUUUUGGUGUUUGUCUAUUUCUACAGGGGGUUAUCAGGAAAUACGGAAGAAAGACCCAC